This is a long non-coding RNA of Daucus carota subsp. sativus, 2509 nucleotides long. RefSeq lists it as uncharacterized. NCBI's taxonomy places the organism in Eukaryota, Viridiplantae, Streptophyta, Magnoliopsida, Apiales, Apiaceae. The transcript has 9 exons. The record is from RefSeq and is a predicted model, not a curated record.
GAAGGUAGAGUUAAUUACAGUAAUUUACUCCUUAAAACUGUCUUAGUUUCGCUUCUUCCAAGAUCAUUUAUUGUUACUUGCUUCUUUGGUCCCGGUGAGUAGCAUCUAUCUAUCUAUCUAUAUUAUAAAGCCUGUUGCCAAAAUACCAUUGAAAUGACCAUUUGACCCAUGCUUAUACACUUCUAUUACAAAAACAUCACAACAUACAUACGGCAUACAUACGAUCCUCGCCAUCCAAACCGUUCUUUCCUUCCCGUAUUCCACGUGCUGCUCAUCCCUCCCUCUGUCAUUCUCUCGCCCUAAUUCAUGUUAUACAUUUCAAACUUUCAAAUUUAAUUGAAACUGCAACAGAUUCGUAAUUGAUGGAUUCUUUGAAAAGGGGUAAUCUUAAGUCGCCGGCUCCAGAAUUGGAACGGAGUACUCUCAAAUCGACGCCUCCACAAUUGGUGGAUGACAUGAGUGAAUACCGAGUAUUUAGGGUAUAGUGCUGGAUUUCCUGUUAUACAGUGGUUUUGGGAGGUUGUACAGAGUUUUAUCAAGGAGGAUAACGGACGACUCUUACAGUUUGUUACUGGCACCUCAAAGUCUCGCAUCCAGGAACGGUAUGCGGUCAGUUCCUAUUCUGGAUUUUUGAGUUUGGAUAUGCUUUAUUAUUCAAAGAACUUUGCCGAAAAAAAAAGAAGAAAAAACAUUGGCAGUUGGAAAAAACUACUUAAGCACAGAAUGGAAGCAAGAAUUAAUCACAUUUUUUGAGUUUUUCAAGAGGAUUCAGACCAAUGACGGUACUACUGUGUCUAUUGACAUCCAAAAAUUGCCUAAAUUGUGUAAUUGGGUGACAUUGUUCAAGUGGCCUACUGGGAAAAAUAUAUUGCGUCGUGAUUGGCUUCUUCGUGACUACAAUGCAGGUGAAACAUUAACUAGAGCUUCGAAGUAAAAACAUAUGCUGUUAAAAAUAUAUGCCUAUUUAUUACCUAAUUUAUAAACAUAAUAUUUGGUAGAUGCGACCCUUGAGAAGAAAUUAUUGAUUCACUGAAUUAUUUUAUGACAAGCUAUCGAGUUAUUUAUACACCAGUGUACAUCUCUUCCCCUAGCACGCACAAAUUUUCCACCAGUAUAGUGGUAUCAGCAACUAGCUUCGAAUAAAACAUAACUCCUCAACUCUUAUUUCAUUUGGAUUCCAAUGGCCUGCUUUAGAUUGUGUGUAUUUCAUUGGAAGAUGGAAAUGGUCCAGGUUCUCACUAGCAGAUUGUAGAGACAGUGAGGAGAUAUGGAGGUCCUGAAAUAUGCACACAAAAGAGUAUUAAUUGUAACCAAUUAAGGCUUCUGAAUUUACAUCAUUAAUUCUAUUACAAAAACUGAUCUAGCAUUUUCAUUAUUUUCACUGGUUUAGUAAUGAUAUGGAGACUGAUAAUUCUUUGAAUUAAAAUGGCUACAUCAUCCUGGCCAAGUUUCUAAUAUCUGUUAUUUGCUGCAUUAGUUUAUAAUAUUACAUCAGUAAGUUUUAGGAUUGAUUGUCAAAACUAAGUAGUAUAUAUAGAUUCUGCUUUCGAGAGUAUAGAUUUAUGUUCUGGUACAGGUACAGUCAACACACAAAUACCUAUGGUAUUGAUGUUGCUGUGGAAUGUAGAUCUUCCGUGACAAUAAUAUAAUUUGAGGUUUAAAUCUCUCUUCUUCUCUGUUUGACUAUACUUGACCAGACAUGCACACACAUAUAUACCAGAAAUCUAGGACUCCAUCUGAUAUACAGGAUAUGCACAUGAAUUUCAAUAUGAAAUUUAUGUUGUGUCCUGUUUGGUUGGUUUUAUGUGUGAGUGCUUGAUGAGGUGUUUCGGAUAUAGAUUGACAGUAGAGUACUGGUUUAUAUUGUAUAUGUACACUAUUAUAGGAUUUUAUUGCUUCACUUCACAAGCGAAAGACAGAGCUGUUUAUGGUCCUCAUUGAGAAGAAGUUGCUGCCUCUACGGCCUGGUGUUACAAACUUCCAAAAUAAUAUUUGGUGCUCGGACUCCACCCAGACAUCCAAGCCAUGGAGUAAAGAAUUCAAUUCAAGCACCAGAAAAUGGAGUGUCAACAUUUCUUUCUUUUGAAUAAUAAUCUCUUGCAAUAGAGGUAUGUUAAUCCACGUGCUGAAGCUGCAACUAAGGCACACAAGUUUACUGCCCAGAAAAAGUUUUACAAUGUAUCUGUACAAAUCCAUCCGCAUCAAGUAACUUUACAAACUUGGGGAUACAAGGAAAACACGCCAUCAUGCUACAAAAAUUGAAAGAACGAUUCAGCCUUCUAAAAAAUGAAAGUGUAAUGUGCAAGAAGAGGGUGAAGAGAUUACCUCAGUUAAAGGAAUGAAAAUGAACAAAGCGGUGAUUUGAAAAGAGGUAGACUUCAAAGUGGCAUAUGGUUUCCCCAGAAUGCUUUUACUGAAUAUCAAAGACUUUGUCUAAUUUCGUUAAUGUCUUUGUCUAACUUUGACUAAUUUUGUCUAAUUUUGUAAAAUAAAAUUGUUGAUUAAAUUU